UUAAUGGUGUCUUUAGACACCACCUCUAUAUUCGAAAUUUUGAUU
Molecule: non-coding RNA, 45 nt
Organism: Picea glauca (white spruce)
Lineage: Eukaryota; Viridiplantae; Streptophyta; Pinopsida; Pinales; Pinaceae
Source: Rfam